GGCGGAGGCUCCGCCCCCCCCCCGGCCUGUGGGGGCGGUGGCGGGAAUGGAUCCGGCGGGAAUGGAGCCUGCCGGGAGCCGGCGGGGUUGGAUGAGAUUCACAGACUGUUCUGAGCUAGAAGGGAUCCACAAGGAUCCUCAAGUCCUAAGUAAAUAUCCCAUAUGGGGAUUGCACCCACCACUUUGGUGUUUCCAGCUCCACGUUCUGACCAACUGCAACUCUGGAAGAUUAACAAAUAUAACUACAAAUAUUGAUGUGUUCUUUCAAUGAACCCACACAUGACCAUGAGGGCAUCCCAACAUCCCAGCUGUAUGCUGCUCUGCUUGAGGAUUUUGAAGCCCAGAUUGCCUGGUCUGGUGGAAAUAUUUCUGGUGGAGCUCUUCCAUUUCACAAACAGGAUCAAAAGUAAGAUCAGGAGACACCUGGCUCAAAUCUGUGAAACUGAUAUGGCAUGUUGAAUUUCAGGCUGCCCUAAAAUGGACCAAGGUAAAAAUGAGCUUUCAAGAUGAAAAUAAUAAAAACAGAGAAAAUCUUGUAAAAAAAUUACUCUCUUGUUGCCUGUGUGCCUGUGCCUUAAAAUAAGAGUUCUUGCUGUUGUGACAGGAGCUCAAGCAUCUCACUCCUGAGAAAUGAGCACCUUGUUUGGAGAAGUAGCAGCUUCUUUUCAACUCAAGGAACCCUGCAGUGCUGACUUCUUUCUCUUCCAUAUUCCAAGAGAAAGGACAGAUAAACCCAGUGUAUGCCUCUUAGCAUCUGUCACGUUUCCAGGGUUAGAACCGAGACAUUUGCUGGGGAAAUUAAAAGCCCCUAUGGCUCAGUCAAGGUGUAAACAUCAUAGGAAAAUCAGUUGAAAGCUGGAUCUAAAGGCUCACCUCACCCUAUGGAGGAUGCUCAUGCCUUAAGCUGGGUUCUGAGAGAAAACAGCAUUUCUGAAUGUGUGGAAUGCAGCACUAGAGCUGAAAGAUGCUGAGAAAAUCCAUUUAAGGAGUCAUGAUGUGGAUCAUGGCUUUAAAUGUGUUUAUUGUCACAUGGCUGAGUAGAUCUUAAUGGAAAAUCAUUGAAAAUCACACAUGUGGAUGAAAGAAACCUUCCAGUGCUUCAUCUGUGAAAGUGCUUUUAUAUCACUUUAUAAAGUGCCUGGAAAGUGCACAGAAACAGCCAUCAGAGGAAACCUCAUCUCAGUGCACAGCAUCUGAAACUGAGCAGAUAAGCAAUCUUCAUGUAGCUUCUUGGCAUUAUCAGGAUAUACGCAGUGAUUUUACCAACCAAAUUUAGACUGUCAGCAGAUAUGCACAGAAGAAAAUGGACACGUAAAGGGUGUUGUGUCUGCCACUAAAAAUAAUCCUUUGAAGCUUGGCUACUGCAACAAACCACAGCUUUUAAUACAACUAAGGAAUGGAUCAAGGUCUGGAAGCAUCUGUGCAAGCACAGACCCUUCAGAGUUACUGGCUUCAGCUCCCUCACAUCAUCCUUACAUGUGUUGGUGGUGUCUUGACUGAACCACGCUGGUGUACACUGGAUUGGAGCCUCAGGUUAAAAAAACCCCAAGCAACACAACAAAUGAACAAACAAAAACCAACUCCAAUUACUUUUCUUGAGAAGCUCUACUUUAUGUGUUGCACAAACAUAGCACAGAAUGAGGAGCAAGGUUUAUGUUCUCUACAGCUUUGUCUUUCCUCACCUGAAAGUUUCAUAUCUCAGAUUUUUAAGUCUUCCCAUCACUGAUGGUAUUACAAAAUAUUGGUGUAGUGUAUUUUAUUUUAUUUUUUUUUUAAUUAGUUUACUUAAGCUUAGUAAGCUUAUUUCUUAAAUGGCAAUCCAGAGAAGAGUUGAAGGAGCAUAUGGAAAAUUACAGAACUGCUACCACCCUUUUGUCUUCAUUUUGGGAUCAGGUAUUCAAAACCAGACAUCAAUUGAGUGGACAUCACAAGCAAAACCACAAAUGGAAGAGAAGGAAGAAGCCUGAAGAUAAUCCUGUGUGUUUCAACACAAAAGCAACUUGAAAGAAGGAUUCAAGCUAAUUUAAAUGUAACAUGUACAGUAGGUAUGAUCUGUAUUAUAGCAAAGCUUGCUAUUUUGUUUCUUAAUUAUAGAAUAUUUAGUAAUCUGGCACAUCUCUCUAUUUGCUGAUUUACUUACAUAUUUUUGUAACAAAGUUGCUUUUUGAUAGCCUGAACAAAAAUAAAAUUAGCUGCCUCCUUCUUGAUUUGUGAUAGUACCAGUCUUUGGAAUAAAGUAAGCAUGUGCUGAUCAAAAAGUGCAGCUAUGGUUUUCUGCUGUAGUUUGUUACAGGCAAUAACAAAGUACAGGUGCUGAAAUGGGUUCUUUCAGGAGCCAAGAGAAAUGCUGUGAGACUUCUUGGAAUGCUGCAAGUUAACUAGGUGAAAAAACAGCUUCCUUUGGGUCAUGGCUGCAUUUUUAAGAGGAAUAUUAACUGAAGCACCAAUUUUAUCAGUUAAUGUAAAAUUCUACUUAUUUGCACUUUGUAAGAAUUAAUACCAAGACUUUGCCCGACCUCAAGUGCAUCCUUUCUUCCAAAGAGAUUUUGAGAAGGCGUUUGAUGAUUUCCUGUUAUUCAGAAAAGAUCUCUUUUUCUUUGAUAAAGAAGAUAAUAAUCUCUAGCCAUCACCUGUCCAUGAGUUGACAUUGCAAAAUAUCAAAAUCUGAUAGCUUUUCUAAUAUUUAGGUAGAGAAACUUGAGUACCUCUCUUUCUCUGGGUUUCUUCUAAGUAUGUACAUUUGGCUGGGGAUGUUUUCUCUUUUUGUUGUUGUUUACAGCCAUACGUGUCUGUUACAUUGUCAGAAAACAUUUUUACAAUAGUUUGACUAGAGAAGUCACUUUCACAGUUGUGUAUCAUAAAUAAACUCAAAUCAUCAAUGCUUUUUCCCCAAA
Passer montanus (Eurasian tree sparrow) is the source of this 2894-nucleotide long non-coding RNA. RefSeq lists it as uncharacterized. The record is from RefSeq and is a predicted model, not a curated record. Lineage: Eukaryota; Metazoa; Chordata; Aves; Passeriformes; Passeridae. The transcript has 6 exons.